Molecule: ribosomal RNA, 538 nt
Filed under: uncultured bacterium
Lineage: Bacteria
Description: partial 16S ribosomal RNA
Rfam family: Bacterial small subunit ribosomal RNA
Source: RNAcentral
UGGGGAAUUUUGGACAAUGGGCGCAAGCCUGAUCCAGCAAUGCCGCGUGCAGGAUGAAGGCCUUCGGGUUGUAAACUGCUUUUGUACGGAACGAAAAGCCUCUCUCUAAUACAGGGGGGUGAUGACGGUACCGUAAGAAUAAGCACCGGCUAACUACGUGCCAGCAGCCGCGGUAAUACGUAGGGUGCAAGCGUUAAUCGGAAUUACUGGGCGUAAAGCGUGCGCAGGCGGUUUUGUAAGACAGUGGUGAAAUCCCCGGGCUCAACCUGGGAACUGCCAUUGUGACUGCAAGGCUGGAGUGCGGCAGAGGGGGAUGGAAUUCCGCGUGUAGCAGUGAAAUGCGUAGAUAUGCGGAGGAACACCGAUGGCGAAGGCAAUCCCCUGGGCCUGCACUGACGCUCAUGCACGAAAGCGUGGGGAGCAAACAGGAUUAGAUACCCUGGUAGUCCACGCCCUAAACGAUGUCAACUGGUUGUUGGGGAUUUAUUUCUUCAGUAACGAAGCUAACGCGUGAAGUUGACCGCCUGGGGGAGUACGG